Molecule: long non-coding RNA, 1820 nt
Organism: Struthio camelus australis
Lineage: Eukaryota; Metazoa; Chordata; Aves; Struthioniformes; Struthionidae
Source: Ensembl
CAAAGAUGGAAACUAUUUGCCAGGCGAAAUCGGAGGUUGUGUAGGCAAAGGCUUAGGAAAAGCAUAACCACUCUGGAAAGCAAGCACUGGUCUCUUCUUGCAUCUGUAAAGGCUACAUAUGAAAAACAGAGAGAGAAGGAGGUUUGGCUCAGGUCCAAUAGCACAGCUUUAUAUGCAAAGGCUGUGGAUAGCCGCAAUGCUGAUGCGGAAAUGAUCUCUGAAAUGCACAGAGAAGACGUUUCUUCUUUCUGUUCUCCUUCAAGGUCCUUCUGAGUCAACAGCUGUGCGCUAUAUCCUACAAUAGAUGUUAAGAUAAAUACAAUGAUCUAGUCCUUUGAUUAAGAGAACUCCCAACAAACAUAUUUUCAUGACUGGAAUAGUAAUGUUAAUUUCAUUUGUUAGAAAAAGAAAGAAUAUGAUUUUCAUUUCACUGGCUUGACUGUUUUUUUAAAAAGGCAUGCUCCUGAUCUUGAACUGUGAUUAUAAACUUGUGAGUUUUACUUUUGUUUCUAGUUAGUUUUUGGCCAAUUUCCCAUUUCUGUUUUCAUAUUGCAAAGUCUGAGGGCAGACAUGUCUGGGGAACUGCCAGUUAAAAGACUUGGAGUGAGAAUGGGUAAAUAAGUCAUAUACCAUGGGAAAGUCGAAAUGCCAUCAGUCUCAGUGCACUUGUCUCCAUCUGCUAGAGGAAUUCCACCUAUGUGAGAUGAAAAUGAAAGCAGCAGCAGUAUUCUUCCAGUGUCUGUCCACAAAUCAAGCUCCAACAGUUCAAGAUGCAAAUAUGAAGCAAGAUUCUUCUCACAGCAGACUGCUCAAAAUAUGAUUUACCAAAUGUGUCCUUAUAAGCUUCUCAGCUAUCCCACUGCGCUCCUCAGCUUUGGCCUCCUUUGCUGGAUCUCUGCGUAAGGCAAGACCACUGUCAUCUUUGUCAUUUAUAACCAAUGCAUAGGGAAUAGUUGAUUUCCUGAGAAGGCAUUUGGAGGAUUUGCUAGUUAGGAUUCCUCCUAAUGUGUUAAAAAUAGAGACUGAGGAAGGCAAAGUAUAGACUAUUCCUAUGGUUAAAAGGCUGUGUCUAAUGAUUAUGAGCUUGGAUAUUGAAACUUAGGAAAUAGGAGUUUAGUACCUUAAUCCUCCACUAAAUCCUUGUAUGACCUUGAGCUGCUCAGUUAUUCUGUCAUCAGUUCCUCUUGUCUGUUUUAGCUGUUUUGUGAUGUUUUUGUCCAAAACCUGAGACAAAGGAGAUGCACAAUUAUUAGGAGCUGUAAUAGCUGUGAGAAAUACCACGUACCUCCAGCUCUGAAUUCAGUUACUCUACCGAUAAAAUUGAAGUGAUGCUGUUUGAAAGGAACAGUAUUACGUCCCUGUGGCACAGCCAUUCCAAUCCCUGGCAUCGUAAUUACUAUUAAAUUAAUUCUGCUCAUGUUAGGAAAGACAUUUAAGUGUUUUAGUAGAAGGUACUAUGUGUUUUGAGGUUUUUGUGUUGUUCGUGUGUAAAGAAAAUGAACAAGAGUGAUUGAAUCAAUGACAAAUGGGGAAUCUGAAUGUAAAGGAACUGCUAAGCAAGUAGGGCACGUUCUCAGGAUUGAGGCUAUUUUAAUUUUAAAUCUAUGACUCUCUACCUAGAGUGUAAUAUUAAAAAUCCAAGAAAUGCUAUGUUUGUUGUCCCAAAAAAGCUGCCUCUUGUACCUGCUGUUUCCAGAAAUGUCUUUUGUGUCAUUCAUUUUUUUGGACACGUGCCUGCUAUUUGAGAAGGUAUAAAGUGUGGCUACUGUGUGUGCAGCAUAUGAGAAUUCAUGCACCCAGAGCUUUUGUCAAAUCUGAAA